RNAcentral lists this ribosomal RNA (689 nucleotides) under Clostridium botulinum. Its description in RNAcentral is "bacterial SSU rRNA". It matches the Rfam family "Bacterial small subunit ribosomal RNA", at positions 1 to 707 of the family's 1533-position model. The record is from RNAcentral. Lineage: Bacteria; Bacillati; Bacillota; Clostridia; Eubacteriales; Clostridiaceae.
UUUAUUGAGAGUUUGAUCCUGGCUCAGGACGAACGCUGGCGGCGUGCCUAACACAUGCAAGUCGAGCGAUGAAGCUUCUUCGGAAGUGGAUUAGCGGCGGACGGGUGAGUAACACGUGGGCAACCUGCCUCAUAGAGAGGGAUAGCCUUUCGAAAGGAAGAUUAAUACCUCAUAAGAUUGUAGUUUCGCAUGAAACGGCAAUAAAAGGAGCAAUCCGCUAUGAGAUGGGCCCGCGUCGCAUUAGCUAGUUGGUAAGGUAAUGGCUUACCAAGGCGACGAUGCGUAGCCGACCUGAGAGGGUGAUCGGCCACAUUGGGACUGAGACACGGCCCAGACUCCUACGGGAGGCAGCAGUGGGGAAUAUUGCACAAUGGGGGAAACCCUGAUGCAGCAACGCCGCGUGAGUGAUGAAGGUCUUCGGAUUGUAAAACUCUGUCUUUGGGGACGAUAAUGACGGUACCCAAGGAGGAAGCCACGGCUAACUACGUGCCAGCAGCCGCGGUAAUACGUAGGUGGCAAGCGUUGUCCGGAUUUACUGGGCGUAAAGGGAGCGUAGGUGGAUAUUUAAGUGGGAUGUGAAAUACUCGGGCUUAACCUGAGUGCUGCAUUCCAAACUGGAUAUCUAGAGUGCAGGAGAGGAAAGUGGAAUUCCUAGUGUAGCGGUGAAAUGCGUAGAUAUUAGGAAGAAC